This is a long non-coding RNA of Olea europaea var. sylvestris, 892 nucleotides long. RefSeq lists it as uncharacterized. The record is from RefSeq and is a predicted model, not a curated record. The transcript has 2 exons. Lineage: Eukaryota; Viridiplantae; Streptophyta; Magnoliopsida; Lamiales; Oleaceae.
AAAGGGAGCAUAUUUUGAAUUUUCAAUAAAUAACAAAUCUUGCCAUAUUCAUUGUUGGGCCGGGUUUUACAAUUGAGAGUAAUUAAGUGGGCAACAAUACCCACUCAUAAGAAAACACCGGGUAAUUCAAAUAUGCUCAGCAUAUUGUCCGCGAUUUCUCUUUCUCUGGCCCCAAUUCUUGAAACCUACCGCCUGUACAAGAAGCCGUCGUCUCCGGCUUGAAGGUAAAGGGUUGUUCCGACUUCAAGUUGUCGCCGUCUUCAUAGAUUAGGCGGUGUAAAAAAGAGCUGUUCCAGCUUCAAGCUAUCGCCAUCUUCGAUGACGGACAAAGCAACGACAAUUCGGAAGAGGUUGACAAUGUCAUUCUAUUAGAAGACAGAAAUGACAACAAUUUGGAUAGUGUGAACUUCAUGGAUGAUGGAAUUGAAAGAGUGGACAGUGUGAUAGUGCCCGUGGUGGUAUGAAAUUCAACGAUGAAAAAGAAAUGUUUAAGUUCAAACGCACCUCUCCAACAUGGUGCAAACAUGUGAUUUUGGAUGAAAAUAAUUGAUGCUGUUGGCAGCUCACUUGUGAGGGAAAUGUGGCUCAUAUUGUUGUGAUGCCGAAUAUCACCAUUGAGAAGUUGGAUUACUUUUUGAGCGAAUUAGUUCGAGGAUGAUUAAUCUGGUAUAGAGAUAAGAAAGUUCAGCCUCCAUGCCUUGCAGAAGAUGUCGGUAUAGAUAACUGUUCUUGUGCUCUUCACAAGUAGUUUGUCUAGUAGCUUGAGGUUCUCUAAGACCCUCAUUGUUGGUCUGUAGCUAAACUUUUCUAAGUUUUCUGAGAGAAGAUCAUCCCUUUGAUUUGUUAUGAAAAACAAAUUCAUAAUUGAAAUCACACUUUUGGAUUUUACUGC